This 460-nucleotide ribosomal RNA is filed under the name uncultured bacterium. Its description in RNAcentral is "partial 16S ribosomal RNA". It matches the Rfam family "Bacterial small subunit ribosomal RNA", at positions 338 to 795 of the family's 1533-position model. The record is from RNAcentral.
CCUACGGGUGGCAGCAGUGAGGAAUAUUGGUCAAUGGACGAGAGUCUGAACCAGCCAAGUAGCGUGAAGGAUGACUGCCCUAUGGGUUGUAAACUUCUUUUAUAUGGGAAUAAAAUGUUCCACGUGUGGGAUUUUGUAUGUACCAUAUGAAUAAGGAUCGGCUAACUCCGUGCCAUCAGCCGCGGUAAUACGUAGUAUCCGAGUGUUAGACGGAUUUAUUGGGGUUAAAGGGAGCGUAGGUGGAAUGUGACGUCAGUAGUGAAAGUUUGCGGCGCAAACGUAAAAUAGCAGUUGAAACUGGCAGUCUGGAGUACAGUAGAGGUGGGCGGAAUUCGUGGUGUAGCGGUGAAAGGCUUAGAUAUCACGAAGAACUCCGAUUGCGAAGGCAGUUCACUGGACUGCAACUGACACUGAGGCUCGAAAGUGUGGGUAUCAAACAGGAUUAGAUACCCUUGUAGUC